CGAGUUAUUCAACUCCCAAACCCUAUGUGAACUUACCACUUGUUGCUUCGGCGCGCGCUUCGGCGCCGCCGAGGACACUUAAACUCUUUGUUUUUAUAAGCAUUUCUGAGUGGCCGAAAGGCAAAAAUACAAAUGAAUCAAAACUUUCAACAACGGAUCUCUUGGUUCUGGCAUCGAUGAAGAACGCAGCGAAAUGCGAUAAGUAAUGUGAAUUGCAGAAUUCAGUGAAUCAUCGAAUCUUUGAACGCACAUUGCGCCCGCCAGCAUUCUGGCGGGCAUGCCUGUUCGAGCGUCAUUUCAACCCUCGAGCCCGACUCUUUUGAGGACGGCUCGGCGUUGGGGGACGGCAGACUCCCCCCGGCAUCUCGCCGGGGACGCCGCCCCCGAAAUCUAGUGGCGGCCCUCCGAGGCGACCUCUGCGUAGUAACUUGUUCUCGCACCGGAAAGCUCAGAGCGGCCACGCCGUAAAACCCCAACUUUUUUCAGGUUGACCUCGAAGUCAGGUA
Molecule: ribosomal RNA, 506 nt
Filed under: Gloeotinia temulenta
Lineage: Eukaryota; Fungi; Ascomycota; Leotiomycetes; Helotiales
Description: eukaryotic LSU rRNA
Rfam family: 5.8S ribosomal RNA (bases 142-295)
Source: RNAcentral